GUUGGAAAGCAUAAAUUCUGCUGGUACAUCUUUUUGCUAUACUUAAAUAGGAAUUGGAAUUUUACUUUGUUUCUGCUUUCUAAAUAAUGCAAUUGCUUCAUGGAAAUGCUGCACUUAUGCAUUCUGGGUUUCUUUUAGCAAUAUUGUUAAGAAUGUUGAAUUUGAAACGGGUCAAGAUAAGGCAAGUCUCAUAAAAAAAUUUUAUACAGCUGGUAAUGUGGUUGCCAACAAUUUCAUCUUUCUGAUCGGUCUGCUUCCUCAGAGACCAUGUUUUGGUAAUCUUCCAAGAUGUGUUAAUUUAUGCUGACUUGAUCUUCAGAAAUUGUUAACUCAACCGAAACUAUUAAUAUUUUGCCAUUUAGCGUGAGUGAAACUUUUAUACUAGCCAUAAGCAUCAACCUGGGACCUUUGAAAACAGAUAAAUAUGGUGGCAUCUCUCUCU
Molecule: unclassified non-coding RNA, 442 nt
Filed under: Hevea brasiliensis (rubber tree)
Lineage: Eukaryota; Viridiplantae; Streptophyta; Magnoliopsida; Malpighiales; Euphorbiaceae
Source: RNAcentral